Molecule: ribosomal RNA, 517 nt
Filed under: uncultured bacterium
Lineage: Bacteria
Description: bacterial SSU rRNA
Rfam family: Bacterial small subunit ribosomal RNA
Source: RNAcentral
GGGGUAAGCAUGGGGGCACCCUGACCGAGCACGCCGCGUGCAGGAAGACGGCCUUCGGAUUGUAAACUGCUUUUCUGUGGGAAGAGAACGGACGGUACCACAAGAAGAAGCCCCGGCUAACUACGUGCCAACAGCCGCGGUAAUACGUAGGGGGCGAGCGUUGUCCGGAGUUACUGGGCGUAAAGCGCACGCAGGCGGUCGGGCAAGUUUGGGGUGACAGUGAUCGGCUUAACUGACCAAGUGCCUCAGAGACUGCCCCGACUUGAGGGCCAUAGAGGGACACGGAACUCCAGGUGUAUUGGUGAAAUGCGUAGAUAUCUGGAAAAACACCAAAGGCGAACGCAGUGUCCUGGGUGGUACCUGACGCUCACGUGCGAAAGACUAGGGGAGCGAACGGGAUUAGAUACCCCGGUAGUCCUAGCCGUAAACGAUGACCACUAAAUGUGCGGGGUAUCGACCCCCUGCGUGUCGGAGCAAACGCGAUAAGUGGUCCGCCUGGGGAGUACGGUCGCAAGAU